This 439-nucleotide ribosomal RNA is filed under the name uncultured bacterium. RNAcentral describes it as "partial 16S ribosomal RNA". It matches the Rfam family "Bacterial small subunit ribosomal RNA", at positions 339 to 795 of the family's 1533-position model. The record is from RNAcentral.
CUACGGGGUGCUGCAGUGAGGAAUAUUGCACAAUGGGGGGAACCCUGAUGCAGCAACGCCGCGUGGAGGAUGACGCAUUUCGGUGUGUAAACUCCUUUUAUAUGUCAAGAAAAUGACGGUAGCAUAUGAAUAAGCGCCGGCUAACUCCGUGCCAGCAGCCGCGGUAAUACGGAGGGCGCAAGCGUUACUCGGAAUCACUGGGCGUAAAGGACGCGUAGGCGGGUUGAAAAGUCAGGUGUGAAAGCCUACAGCUUAACUGUAGAACUGCACUUGAAACUCUCAAUCUAGAGUAUGGGAGGGGCAGAUGGAAUUAGUGGUGUAGGGGUAACAUCCGUAGAUAUCACUAGGAAUACCUGAAGCGAAGGCGAUCUGCUGGAACAUUACUGACGCUAAGGCGUGAAAGCGUGGGGAGCAAACAGGAUUAGAUACCCGAGUAGUC